GUCUUUGUAGUAUAUAUAAUACUUUGGUCUUGUAAACCAAAAAAGGAGGACAUCCCCCUCCCUAAGACU
RNAcentral lists this transfer RNA (69 nucleotides) under Prionodon pardicolor. RNAcentral describes it as "tRNA-Thr". Lineage: Eukaryota; Metazoa; Chordata; Mammalia; Carnivora; Viverridae. The record is from RNAcentral. RNAcentral also lists the same sequence under 1 other name.